This 697-nucleotide ribosomal RNA is filed under the name Actinomucor elegans var. kuwaitensis. RNAcentral's name for it is "eukaryotic LSU rRNA". It matches the Rfam family "Eukaryotic large subunit ribosomal RNA", at positions 50 to 648 of the family's 3401-position model. The record is from RNAcentral. Lineage: Eukaryota; Fungi; Mucoromycota; Mucoromycetes; Mucorales; Mucoraceae.
GCGGAGGAAAAGAAAAUAACAAUGAUUUCCCCAGUAACGGCGAGUGAAGAGGAAAGAGCUCAAAGUUGGAACCUGCUUGGCUUAGCCAAGCCGGAUUGUAAACUGUAGAAGUGUUUUCCUGACACGCCAGGCAAAAAAGUCCUUUGGAACAGGGCAUCAUAGAGGGUGAGAAUCCCGUCUUUGGCCUGAGCAGUUGUCUUUUGCGAUACACUUUCAAAGAGUCAGGUUGUUUGGGAAUGCAGCCUAAAUUGGGUGGUAAAUCUCACCUAAAGCUAAAUAUUGGCGAGAGACCGAUAGCGAACAAGUACCGUGAGGGAAAGAUGAAAAGAACUUUGAAAAGAGAGUUAAACAGUAUGUGAAAUUGUUAAAAGGGAACCGUUUGGAGCCAGACUGGCUUGGCUGUAAUCAAUCUGGGCUUUUGCCCGGAUGCACUUGCGGCCUAUGCCUGCCAACGACAGUUUUAUUUGGGGGAAAAAACCAGGAGGAAUGUGGCCCCUUUGCGGGGGUGUUAUAGCCUCUUGGAAAAUACCCUGGAUUGGACUGAGGAUCGCAGCGAAUGCCUUUAGGCGAGAUUGCGGCGUGCUUUUGCUGAUAAAUGCUAGAAUUUCUGCUUCGGGUGGUGCUAGUGUUUAAAGGUGGAACUCGCGCUGUAUAUUUUUUAUUCGCUUAGGUUGUUGGCUUAAUGACUCUAAAUGAC